CCAACGUGGACACCCCGUGAGCUGGCUCUCAUGUGGCUCUGUCUGUGUGGCGUAUGGGAGCGUAGCACCUCGGCGCUGUGACGUACAGUCCCGUUCCACGACGUUGGACAGCAUGCUGGUCCCCGGCCUGUAGGCUGGUGUGGACGGCGUCCCGUAUAUUCCUACACCUUCCCAGAGCCCCACGGGCCGUUACUGGGGAGGUAAACCAUGCGGUGCACAAUC
Molecule: small nucleolar RNA, 222 nt
Gene: SNORA73
Rfam family: Small nucleolar RNA SNORA73 family
About the family: U17 (SNORA73A and SNORA73B) also known as E1 belongs to the H/ACA class of small nucleolar RNAs (snoRNAs).
Source: Ensembl